RNAcentral lists this ribosomal RNA (749 nucleotides) under Cytobacillus firmus. RNAcentral's name for it is "bacterial SSU rRNA". It matches the Rfam family "Bacterial small subunit ribosomal RNA", at positions 97 to 832 of the family's 1533-position model. Lineage: Bacteria; Bacillati; Bacillota; Bacilli; Caryophanales; Bacillaceae. The record is from RNAcentral.
GGCGGACGGGUGAGUAACACGUGGGCAACCUGCCUGUAAGACUGGGAUAACUUCGGGAAACCGGAGCUAAUACCGGAUAAUUCUUUCUCUCUCAUGAGGGAAAGCUGAAAGAUGGUUUCGGCUAUCACUUACAGAUGGGCCCGCGGCGCAUUAGCUAGUUGGUGAGGUAACGGCUCACCAAGGCAACGAUGCGUAGCCGACCUGAGAGGGUGAUCGGCCACACUGGGACUGAGACACGGCCCAGACUCCUACGGGAGGCAGCAGUAGGGAAUCUUCCGCAAUGGACGAAAGUCUGACGGAGCAACGCCGCGUGAGUGAUGAAGGUUUUCGGAUCGUAAAACUCUGUUGUUAGGGAAGAACAAGUACCGGAGUAACUGCCGGUACCUUGACGGUACCUAACCAGAAAGCCACGGCUAACUACGUGCCAGCAGCCGCGGUAAUACGUAGGUGGCAAGCGUUGUCCGGAAUUAUUGGGCGUAAAGCGCGCGCAGGCGGUUCCUUAAGUCUGAUGUGAAAGCCCACGGCUCAACCGUGGAGGGUCAUUGGAAACUGGGGAACUUGAGUGCAGAAGAGGAGAGUGGAAUUCCACGUGUAGCGGUGAAAUGCGUAGAGAUGUGGAGGAACACCAGUGGCGAAGGCGACUCUCUGGUCUGUAACUGACGCUGAGGCGCGAAAGCGUGGGGAGCGAACAGGAUUAGAUACCCUGGUAGUCCACGCCGUAAACGAUGAGUGCUAAGUGUUAGAGGGUU